GUCUAUUCUGCCCAUUGAGUAAGUUCUUAAAAGGCCGCGGUAUUCUAACUGUGCAAAGGUAGCAUAAUCAUUAGUUUCUUAAUUGGAGGCUUGUAUGAAUGAUUGGAUAAAAAUUGAACUGUCUUUUUUUAAUAGAUUGAAUUUUAUUUUUGAGUGAAAAAGCUCAAAUGAAUUAGAGGGACGACAAGACCCUAUAAAUCUUUAUGAAGAUCUUUUUAUUCAGUAAAAUAUAGUUUGUUAAAUACUGAUAAAAGGUUAAUUCAUUGUACUGGGGCGGUAGAGAUAUACAAAAACUAUUUAAAAAUUCAAACAAAAUAUAUUUGUGCGAGUAAAAGAUCUUAAUUAUAGAUUUAAAGAAUAAGUUACUUUAGGGAUAACAGCAUAAUUUUUCUUGAGAGUUCGAAUCGAAAGAGAAGUUUGUGACCUCGAUGUUGAAUUAAAAUUUUCCU
Molecule: ribosomal RNA, 449 nt
Filed under: Petrolisthes tiburonensis
Lineage: Eukaryota; Metazoa; Arthropoda; Malacostraca; Decapoda; Porcellanidae
Description: partial 16S large subunit ribosomal RNA
Rfam family: Bacterial large subunit ribosomal RNA
Source: RNAcentral